This 405-nucleotide ribosomal RNA is filed under the name uncultured bacterium. RNAcentral's name for it is "partial 16S ribosomal RNA". It matches the Rfam family "Bacterial small subunit ribosomal RNA", at positions 28 to 526 of the family's 1533-position model. The record is from RNAcentral.
GACGAACGCUGGCGGCGUGCUUAACACAUGCAAGUCGAGCGGAGCGGCGAACGGGUGAGUAAAGCGUGAGUAACUGCCCCCCUCUCUGGGAUAACAGUUGGAAACGGCUGCUAAUACCGGAUAGUGGGGGAUGACUCGCGUCCUAUCAGCUUGUUGGUGGGGUAGUGGCCUACCAAGGCGACGACGGGUUGCCGGCCUGAGGGGGCGACCAGCCACAUUGGGCUGAGGGACGGCCCAGACUGCUACGGGAGGCAGCGGUGGAGAAUAUUGCCCAAUAGGGGAAACCCUGAUGCAGCGACGCCGCGUGCGGGAUGACGUCCUGCGGGUUGUAAACCGCUUUCAGCCAUGACGCGGUAGUUGCAGAAGAAGCACCGGCUAACUACGUGCCAGCAGCCGCGGUAAUUC